GGAGGUAGCUCAAUGGUAGAGUAAUUGCCUAGCAUGCAAGAGGCCUUGAGUUCAAUCUUAAAUUUCCA
RNAcentral lists this transfer RNA (68 nucleotides) under Fukomys damarensis (Damara mole-rat). It matches the Rfam family "tRNA". Rfam says of the family: Transfer RNA (tRNA) molecules are approximately 80 nucleotides in length. Their secondary structure includes four short double-helical elements and three loops (D, anti-codon, and T loops). Lineage: Eukaryota; Metazoa; Chordata; Mammalia; Rodentia; Bathyergidae. The record is from Rfam by way of RNAcentral.